This 213-nucleotide unclassified non-coding RNA is filed under the name Hevea brasiliensis (rubber tree). The record is from RNAcentral. Lineage: Eukaryota; Viridiplantae; Streptophyta; Magnoliopsida; Malpighiales; Euphorbiaceae.
GUCACCAAUCUCAGAUUCAAGCUUGGCUGUAUGAGCUUCAACUCCUUUCCCUAUUCCAUUCAGAAACUCGGGAAUUCCAACCUUCACGAUGUAAGCUGGAGAUUUGGAGAAGAAUCUGUAGAAACCAGGCGUUGAAUUUGUUUGUGGGAGUGAAACUAUCCUUGUGUUAGUGAUUAUUUGCCUCCACGCCAUCUUCGAAACUCUCUGUCUCUG